Cyprinus carpio (common carp) is the source of this 556-nucleotide long non-coding RNA. RefSeq lists it as uncharacterized. The record is from RefSeq and is a predicted model, not a curated record. NCBI's taxonomy places the organism in Eukaryota, Metazoa, Chordata, Actinopteri, Cypriniformes, Cyprinidae. The transcript is spliced from 3 exons.
AAACAUGAUAAACAUACGCUAGGGCAUUGGCUGAAUCACCACACACAUCUGAGCCAGGUAUAGCGUUACGGCGAACGGCGUCUAGACGGUUUUGUCUGCAGGGCGUCUUCAGUACAUCAGAUUUCAUAACAUUUGGCACAGCAGUACGAGGACUUUCUUGUAUGCUUGCAGCUGCAGGGUGAGAAAGGAAAAAAAUGCAUCAAAGAACAGCCACCUACACUUUUAACAAGGAUUGCAGAAACAAAAGCAGUAAACAGUGUCCUGACAGCACAGACUUCUUUUCUUUGUCAAUGGAGCUGAGAGAAGAUGCAGUCAGACUGACGGACGUCGACAGAAGGAAACGAGUCGGGGAACACAUACCAGCACGUAACAGAUCUACAAUCUCUUUGUAGAGUCGUGUUCCAUAAAAUGUAAACAACUUUAUUAUCUGGUUUUCACACCGUCGGCGUGAUGUCUGCACUUGAUUCAUUGUGCGUCAUUUAUUGAUCUUUUUAUGACAUGAUACGCAAAAUUAAGUUGGAUUACUUGAGUCAUUGUACUUGAUUUGUUUAGCAUG